This 432-nucleotide ribosomal RNA is filed under the name Acidovorax sp. Its description in RNAcentral is "bacterial SSU rRNA". It matches the Rfam family "Bacterial small subunit ribosomal RNA", at positions 148 to 575 of the family's 1533-position model. The record is from RNAcentral. Lineage: Bacteria; Pseudomonadati; Pseudomonadota; Betaproteobacteria; Burkholderiales; Comamonadaceae.
GGAGCGAAAGCUUUGCUAAUACCGCAUACGAUCUACGGAUGAAAGCAGGGGACCCUCGGGCCUUGCGCGAACGGAGCGGCCGAUGGCAGAUUAGGUAGUUGGUGGGAUAAAAGCUUACCAAGCCGACGAUCUGUAGCUGGUCUGAGAGGACGACCAGCCACACUGGGACUGAGACACGGCCCAGACUCCUACGGGAGGCAGCAGUGGGGAAUUUUGGACAAUGGGCGAAAGCCUGAUCCAGCAAUGCCGCGUGCAGGAUGAAGGCCUUCGGGUUGUAAACUGCUUUUGUACGGAACGAAAAGUCUCGGGAUAAUACCCUGGGACCAUGACGGUACCGUAAGAAUAAGCACCGGCUAACUACGUGCCAGCAGCCGCGGUAAUACGUAGGGUGCAAGCGUUAAUCGGAAUUACUGGGCGUAAAGCGUGCGCAGG